UUUAAAUUGAGAGUUUGAUCCUGGCUCAGGACGAACGCUGGCGGCGUGCCUAACACAUGCAAGUCGAGCGAUGAAACCCUUCGGGGUGAAUUAGCGGCGGACGGGUGAGUAACACGUGGGUAACCUGCCUCAAAGAGGGGA
This 141-nucleotide ribosomal RNA is filed under the name Clostridiaceae bacterium. RNAcentral's name for it is "partial 16S ribosomal RNA". It matches the Rfam family "Bacterial small subunit ribosomal RNA", at positions 1 to 142 of the family's 1533-position model. Lineage: Bacteria; Bacillati; Bacillota; Clostridia; Eubacteriales; Clostridiaceae. The record is from RNAcentral.